RNAcentral lists this non-coding RNA (26 nucleotides) under Rattus norvegicus (Norway rat). The record is from RNAcentral. Lineage: Eukaryota; Metazoa; Chordata; Mammalia; Rodentia; Muridae.
UACUUGGAGUAGUGAAAUGAUGUUGG